RNAcentral lists this ribosomal RNA (216 nucleotides) under Glomeromycotina sp. RNAcentral describes it as "partial small subunit ribosomal RNA". The stretch from base 40 to 216 matches the Rfam family "Eukaryotic small subunit ribosomal RNA", at positions 686 to 864 of the family's 1831-position model. The record is from RNAcentral. Lineage: Eukaryota; Fungi; Glomeromycota.
GGGUCAGUAGGUUGGUCGUGCCACCGGUACGUACUGGUCUCACUGAUUCCUCCUUCCUGAAGAACCGUAAUGCCAUUAAUUUGGUGUUGCGGGGAAACAGGACUGUUACUUUGAAGAAAUUAGAGUGUUUAAAGCAAGCUAACGCUUGAAUACAUUAGCAUGGAAUAACGAAAUAGGACGAUCGAUCCUAUUUUGUUGGUUUCUAGGAUUGACGUA